UCCAGGCAGCUGUCCUAGCGCCACCAGGUACUGCUGGGAAAACACCCUCAGAGCUUCCUUCCAUGAUUGAGGACAUGGGCUGGUCUCUGCCAGCCCACUCCUUUCUUGCCUCCCUCCAUCUGGCCACUCUGGCACAGGCUUUCAACUCUUCCUGCUUCUGAAAAUGGUCUGUCUGAUGUUCUAGGCCUGUAGCCGAAGUCGGAUGCCCCAGCGUUGCCCAGAAACAAACACUGGGUGACUGUCCAGGCUUGCUUGCACUUCCUGCUCACUCGGGAAUCUAUUGACUUUUGAGAAAUUGCACACUACAUGGGAUAGAUAAUGAGAAUGAGAAGACAUCAGACAAAAAUCAUAUCUGACUGGGUAAUUAGAGAUAAUUCUAGAAGCUGAAAACGUCCGUCUCCUCAAAUGCAGGUACAAUGUGCUAAAAAAAAAAUAGGGAGACCAUAAUUGACAAAGGGGGGUGAUGCUCCUGGUUGGGGAGCUCAGGAACAACCAGUCUAACUAACGAUGCCCGGCUGCUCUUCCACGGACUCUUCUGCUACCUAAGCCCAGAGAGAAGCCAUCCCAUCUGGCUCAUGGCUCAUGCCUACCCCCUCUGUAGGCAGAAGUGAUGAAUCACAAACCAACUUCAGCAUCCUUCUCAACUCCUCUGCAACAGCAGCCGACGGGAACGGGGAAAAGGGGCAUCCAACCCCAACCCUUUACCUCAGUCAGCUUCCUGGGAAGUCCUGUGAUGUAGGAAACCUGCAUAGCAUCGAGCCCCAAAGGACCUGAGACAGAAUGGAUAAAGUGAAAGGCUAUUCUCCUGAGGACUUGAAACCAUGCUUGAUGAUCCCCCAAACUCUCGGCCACGGUUCUUCCCUGAGUCUGUCUAAAAGACAAAGAACAGUAGUGUGCUCUAAAGCAAACUUCUUAAAAAUUCCUGUCACAGCCUGAAAAGUUGUAUAUGAUCAUUAACAUAUAAAGGUUACAGGAAGCAUACACUGAUAAUAAAGCACAGAAAUCAAAGCAA
Molecule: long non-coding RNA, 1012 nt
Organism: Mesocricetus auratus (golden hamster)
Lineage: Eukaryota; Metazoa; Chordata; Mammalia; Rodentia; Cricetidae
Exons: 2
Source: RefSeq, a predicted model, not a curated record